This 249-nucleotide unclassified non-coding RNA is filed under the name air metagenome. RNAcentral describes it as "partial contains small subunit ribosomal RNA, internal transcribed spacer 1, and 5.8S ribosomal RNA". The stretch from base 1 to 46 matches the Rfam family "Eukaryotic small subunit ribosomal RNA", at positions 1786 to 1831 of the family's 1831-position model. The record is from RNAcentral.
AAGUCGUAACAAGGUUUCCGUAGGUGAACCUGCGGAAGGAUCAUUACCGAGAGGGGCUCCGCGCCCCAGGUGGCUUCGGCCACCGCAUCUCAACCCCGUGGCUAUGUUCCAGAUCGGAAGAUCGGUACAAAGUACGUUGCUUCGGUGGGGAAAGCCCCCGCCGGCCGCCCAUCAAAACCCUUUUAUUGGUGCAGUCUGAGUACAAAUCAUAAUAAAGAAAAACUUUCAACAACGGAUCUCUUGGUUCUG